AUGAGUUGAGCGAGACCAUCCUAUCCAUAUGCUGCAGAGACAAAUACAGCUUGGUGUCCGACUUCUCCUGGUACUUGAAUAUUUUAGUGGAGCUGGCGAGGGUGCCUGGUUCGGUUCAUGGCAAAAC
Molecule: non-coding RNA, 127 nt
Filed under: Chloropicon mariensis
Lineage: Eukaryota; Viridiplantae; Chlorophyta; Chloropicophyceae; Chloropicales; Chloropicaceae
Source: RNAcentral